CUGGAGUUUGGCAGAGGGGGGGUGGAAUUCCACGUGUAGCAGUGAAAUGCGUAGAGAUGUGGAGGAACACCAAUGGCGAAGGCAGCCCCCUGGGUCGAUACUGACGCUCAUGCACGAAAGCGUGGGUAGCAAACAGGAUUAGAUACCCUGGUAGUCCACGCCCUAAACGAUGUCAACUAGGUGUUGGGAGGGUAAAACCUUUUAGUGCCGUAGCUAAC
This 218-nucleotide ribosomal RNA is filed under the name uncultured Candidatus Accumulibacter sp. RNAcentral's name for it is "partial 16S ribosomal RNA". It matches the Rfam family "Bacterial small subunit ribosomal RNA", at positions 641 to 856 of the family's 1533-position model. The record is from RNAcentral. Lineage: Bacteria; Pseudomonadati; Pseudomonadota; Betaproteobacteria.